UCUUGGCUCAACUUUGUGAGAACCUAGUAAAUUCUAAGAAAGUAUAAUGGACAGUGUUGAUUUCUCCAUAUAUAUUUAGUGAUUUUACAUGUAUGCACACACACACACCUUCAAUACAUAAAGUAUUUCAUUUAAAUUUACCUACUAAUGUAUGAUAUUCGCAAUGCCCUAUAGACUUUGGGAAGAAUGUUAAUCUUGUAUUGCAAAACCAUGCUCUACUUUAAAAGCAAUGCCUCCAGAUGUACAGCAUACUUAACAGGGCCAAGAAAACAUGUAACGUUGAUUCUGUUCUGAGAUACACCUUUGUUAAAAAGAAUCCCUUCAGUUUUUCCUGUCUGACUAAAAAUGAUGAAAGGCAGGGUAUCCUGAAUGCCUGUGUUAGAACAUCGAGGUAUUGGAGAUCCGUGAAGGAGCAUCAUCGUUACUAUAGAAACAAAUGCUGCCUCUGUCAUGGACAUCCAAAGGACAGACUGAAAAAUGAGGAAGGGAAAAGCAAUGGGAGGAAGAGGUGCCAUGAAAUGAGAAUAAAGAAACUACACAGGAAGGACUGAAUUAAGAAAAGAACAGCCUGAGGCAGAGUGGGGAAUCUAGACACAGAAAAUUCCCAGUGGAAAUGUAAAAAACUGGAUCACCACUUGGGGAAUCUCUAGAACACGUUCUUUGAAAAUGAGAAAGAUAGCCUGUUUAUUCACCAGAUAAAGAUUACAUGUGGUCUUUAGCAAGAAACAUGAACUCAGGAGGAUGACAGAUUUUAACCUUAAUUUGAAUGGAAGGGAAGCAUUGUAUAAGAAGGAUUAAAUAAUGUGACUUCACACUGUCUUCAUACUAGAUAAUAACUGAAAACUGAUUGGCAACAUAACAUUUAUUAUUUUCCCUGUAAUACUGUUAUUAGAACACAGGAAAGUGGUUAUCCAAAUGCCCAUGCUUUCUAAAAAAGAAACCAAACGUCUGAUGUCUGGAUAUGAGUUCAGACUAUCUUUCCACUAAGAGUAAAGACUUCUCGGUUUCAUGAAGGACAGGCUGGUGAAAGGCAAAAAGACCACCUAUAAAAUGGAUACAGAGAGAGAAGAUCGAAUCAUAAAGUCUCUAAGCCUUUGUCCAAUUAUGAGAUAUUUUUCUUUUGUUUCAAGACUUUAUUGAAGUUCUGUGAGCUACACUCAUUGUGUAAAAUUGAUAAAGGUUAAUAUUACCAUCUAAUCUGUUGAAUAUUAUUUUAUUUAAACUGAUAUACCAAAGGAAAUCAUGAGCUUUGUGUUAGCAAAAGGGAGAGAUUUUCAGUAUUCUCUUACUGCUUACAAAUAACUGUUUUAUCACACACCAGGCCUGUCAGUGGGUGGAGAGCAAGGGGAGGGAGAGCAUUAGGACAAAUACCUAAUGCAUGCGGAGGUUAAAACCUAGAUGAUGGGUUGAUAGGUGUAGCAAACCACCAUGGCACAUGUAUACCUAUGUAACAAACCUGCACAUUCUGCACAUGUAUCCCAGAACUUAAAGUAAAAUAAAAAAUAAUAAAAAGUUCUUAAUUAUCUCCAGGGAGAGAGGGACAUAAUUGUGAGGUUCAUAAAGAAGCAAAUUAAAAGUGAUCAUACUUGAUUUCCCAAAUGGAUCUUUGCUUGUUUUAGGAGCAAGGAUAAGAGGUUGCUUAUACACCUAGUUUUGCAAAAGGUUGAAUACUUUAGCCAUCUUAGCAUUUAAAUGUUGCUGAUAUUCUAUAUCCCGAGCCAGGGAAAAGAGAUUCUGACUAAGCAAGAAAAUCCGAACACUGAAAUACCUUAGUUAAAAUGAAAAGCAGGAACUACUCUGGGUUUCUUUACAAAAUGCAUUUUUUCCUCUACAAAUAAACUCAUUGGUGCUAAUCUUGUAAACAGUGGUAACUAUGGCACCUAAAUAAAAAUGGCACUUUAUUUCGUUAGCAUCAUGGAGGGUUUAUAGGAGAUUACUUUGAAAGAUACUCAGGGAGACAACUUGGGGAUUCUGUAUAACUCUCUUAAAAGAAUUCAGAAUGCUCUCAGAUGGUAGAGGAAAUUAGGCUUUUUCUGCAUGACUUCAAGUGAAUUAGGAAGAAGAAAAAAUGUAGAAGGAGAAGGAAAUUUUGUUCAAGUUUACCAAAGAGCUUCCCAACAAAUAGAGAUUAUAGUGAAAUUGGUGGCAUUUGGAAGCCCUAAAAGUUCAGCUAUGAAAUAAAGUGUAAAGCAGAGGAUUGAAAAUUGCUGUAAGGUAUACUAGAGCAGAAUUUCAGCCUUUGGUAGAAAUUAGGUAGGAUGCUAGGCAAGCUGACCUUCAAAGACCCUUCAAUGCUAAAAUUCUAUGAAAAGCAAUGAUUGAUUUGUGUCAGUUUUCUAAAAAGAAACUUUCAGUAUCUGUAUUGCAUUAAGUAUUGCAAAUCCAAAUGAAAUGCAUUAUUAUUUAAAAUUGUUGACCAUUUUAAUACAAUUCAUUGUGCUCUCUUUCACAUCCCUCUUUAGUGCAGUGAAGAACAUGCUUAUUAGUAUGGAUCCUCAUGUUCCAGAAGAGUCCUUUUUCUGAGUGGUAAAUGAAACAUGUUGGUGUCUCUGCAGCAAUCCCAAAUACAACAUAGCCUGGUAGCUGGUGGUACUGCUGGUACUGCUUGUCUCUAGCUUGACCAUAUUAUUAAAACAUUGAUCAGCAA
Molecule: long non-coding RNA, 2647 nt
Organism: Gorilla gorilla gorilla (western lowland gorilla)
Lineage: Eukaryota; Metazoa; Chordata; Mammalia; Primates; Hominidae
Exons: 2
Source: RefSeq, a predicted model, not a curated record